This 523-nucleotide ribosomal RNA is filed under the name uncultured bacterium. RNAcentral's name for it is "bacterial SSU rRNA". It matches the Rfam family "Bacterial small subunit ribosomal RNA", at positions 355 to 894 of the family's 1533-position model. The record is from RNAcentral.
UGGGGAAUUUUGCGCAAUGGGGGAAACCCUGACGCAGCAACGCCGCGUGGAGGAUGAAAUCCCUUGGGAUGUAAACUCCUUUCGAUAGGGAAGAUAAUGACGGUACCUAUAGAAGAAGCCCCGGCUAACUUCGUGCCAGCAGCCGCGGUAAUACGAGGGGGGCAAGCGUUGUUCGGAAUUAUUGGGCGUAAAGGGUGCGUAGGCGGUUUGACAAGUCUAAUGUGAAAUCUAUGGGCUCAACCCAUAGUCUGCAUUGGAAACUGUCGGGCUUGAGUAUGGGAGAGGUGAGUGGAAUUUCCGGUGUAGCGGUGAAAUGCGUAGAUAUCGGAAGGAACACCUGUGGCGAAAGCGGCUCACUGGACCAUUACUGACGCUGAGGCACGAAAGCUAGGGGAGCAAACAGGAUUAGAUACCCUGGUAGUCCUAGCCCUAAACGAUGAUUGCUUGAUGUGGCAGGUACCCAAUCCUGCCGUGUCGAAGCUAACGCGAUAAGCAAUCCGCCUGGGGAGUACGGUCGCAAGGC